CGGACGGGUGAGUAACGCGUGGGUAACCUACCCUGUACAGGGGGAGUAACAGUCAGAAAUGACUGCUAAUACCGCAUAAGACCACAGCACCGCAUGGUGCAGGGGUAAAAACUCCGGUGGUACAGGAUGGACCCGCGUCUGAUUAGCUGGUUGGUGAGGUAACGGCUCACCAAGGCGACGAUCAGUAGCCGGCUUGAGAGAGUGAACGGCCACAUUGGGACUGAGACACGGCCCAAACUCCUACGGGAGGCAGCAUG
Molecule: ribosomal RNA, 257 nt
Filed under: uncultured bacterium
Lineage: Bacteria
Description: partial 16S ribosomal RNA
Rfam family: Bacterial small subunit ribosomal RNA
Source: RNAcentral